Zea mays is the source of this 1459-nucleotide long non-coding RNA. RefSeq lists it as uncharacterized. The record is from RefSeq and is a predicted model, not a curated record. NCBI's taxonomy places the organism in Eukaryota, Viridiplantae, Streptophyta, Magnoliopsida, Poales, Poaceae. The transcript has 3 exons.
AAAUCCCGCCGCCAUCGUCCAUCCUGCCACCCCCUCCAUAGAUCUGCCUGCCUCAAUAAUCCCGCCGCCACCUCCAUCGUGUCGCGCCCCUCCAUCACGCUGCCCCCUUUGGUGUCAUUUGCCUGUGGAAUCGUGAUUUCCCUUCCUGUUUUUUGGUAAACUUUGGGGGAAUUUCUGUUCGUAGGAUUUGAGUGUGAUUGAAGAAAUUUUCCUUGGGGGAAUUCAUGCUGGAGCAUCACUGAACUCGUCUAUGGCUAUUCCCUAGCGAUUUCCUCUCUCAAAUUUGUGUUUAUCUUGGAGCAUUGAUUUAACAUUUUUGUUCUUUCUUAUCUGCAGGAUUUAAAGGUUGUUCUAGGUCCUUGCAGGAUUAAGCCUAACAAAACAGAGAUUUGUGAUUAAAAGUUGGUUCAAGGUUCUUGCAAUAUUAAGCCUAGCAAAACAGAUUCGUGGGCAGCAAGGAAAGGAAGGUGUUGUAGUUCAGAAAAUCCAAAAACAACUAGGAGAUUGUCGAGCUCUAGUGUAAGGUAAGUUCAACUAAUUUACCUUGUUUCCGGUUCAAUUGUGUGUUUGUUCAUUAUCUUUGAGUGUAUGCAGCAAAGUUUUUAUGCUUGUUAUAUGUUCUUAGAAGCUCUAUCAUAUCCGUAAUAACACACAUGGAUAAAUCGUGGAUCGACAAUGUGGCUAGGUACAAUACAACUUUUUUUCACAAUAACUAAAAAAAUGUGCUACGUGGUUAUCUUGAUAUUUAACAUAGAAAUUGCAUGUAGGGAGACAAAGGCCUAUACACAAGGGGUGAAUAGUUUUCUAGCUUUUGCAUUAAAAAAUUCAGCGGUAGGAAGCAAGAUUUUAUGCCCUUGUAGGAAGUGUGUCAACUCAUUUUGGCGGGAGGCUAUUGAAGUUCGAGAACACUUGAUUUGUGAUGGAUUUUUAAAAGGGUAUAGAACAUGGACCUUACAUGGAGAAGCUAGUUCCUCUGUAUUGAACAAUGAAAAUGGUGAUGUCCCUGAGUUCAUUGAGGUGCAUGACGAAGAAGAUGACAUAUCUGAGUUGAUUAAGGAUUUAGCAUGUGGUUUAGAUGAUAGAGGAGAUAUGGAAGAUGAUGGGUCUUUUGAUCCAUUUGAUAAAGAUGUAGCUACCAUUCGUAGGCUAGCAGCAGACAACAGUCAAGAAUUGUACCCAGGUUGCAAUAAGUACUCAAAGCUACGCUUUCUAGUUCGUUUACUUCACAUAAAACUUCUUGGAGGAUGGACGGAUAGAAGUUUUAAUUUGUUGGUUGAUCUACUUGUUGAUGCGUUGCCUAAGGGUUCAGCACUUCCUAGAAACUUUCAUGAAGCUAAGAAAUUAGUGAAAUCAGUGGGAGUUGGGUACACUUCUAUCCAUGCAUGCGAGAACGAUUGCAUUCUUUACUGGAAGGAGCAUGAAAACUCUAAUUCAUGUCCGAAAUGUAAUGUUUCACGCU